This is a non-coding RNA of Gasterosteus aculeatus aculeatus (three-spined stickleback), 394 nucleotides long. The record is from RefSeq and is a predicted model, not a curated record. Lineage: Eukaryota; Metazoa; Chordata; Actinopteri; Perciformes; Gasterosteidae.
UCCAUAUAUGGUCACUUCAUGUUUAAUGGUGAACUCGUCCACUUCUGACACAGCGUCUCUGGCUUCAGUCCACAGGUGAGAGGGGAGACCUGAGCUGUGGGUGGGCCUUCCUCAAACUGACCGACGACACUGGGAACCCUCUCCCCCACAGGACCUUUGAGCUGACGGUGAAUGGAGGGACUCCCUAUGAGAAGGAUGUGGAGAUGGAGGCCUCGGCCCCCACAGGACCCCCAGGCGGCGUCUUCCAGCAGAUGCUUCAGGCCCGCCGUCGGCCCAAACUGAUCCUAAAGCUUAAAUCGUGCGGCAAUGAGACCAGAACUCGUCUCAGGUGGGAUUAAGAACGUUAGAUAACCAAACCAUCAGCUCCUCUUGAGUGUCCUUGUCUCCUCUCCUC